This 70-nucleotide transfer RNA is filed under the name Dipodomys ordii (Ord's kangaroo rat). It matches the Rfam family "tRNA". Rfam says of the family: Transfer RNA (tRNA) molecules are approximately 80 nucleotides in length. Their secondary structure includes four short double-helical elements and three loops (D, anti-codon, and T loops). Lineage: Eukaryota; Metazoa; Chordata; Mammalia; Rodentia; Heteromyidae. The record is from Rfam by way of RNAcentral.
GGGAAUGUGGCUUAGUGGUAGAGUGCUUGCCUAACAUGCAUGAAGUCCUGGGGUCGAUUCCUCAGUACCA